This 2649-nucleotide long non-coding RNA is filed under the name Mus musculus (house mouse). RNAcentral describes it as "RIKEN cDNA D030055H07 gene (D030055H07Rik)". The record is from RNAcentral. Lineage: Eukaryota; Metazoa; Chordata; Mammalia; Rodentia; Muridae.
AGUAGCACCGGGAUCCUGAUGUGUGGCCAGUCCUGGAGUGUGAGUUAGGGUGUUCAGGGCUCUCGAGGAAAGGGAACCCUGCCUGUUCCCCCAGCCCCUGGACCUUGAGGGGCCACUUUAGCCUUGACAGCCCCUGCGAACCUGCUGUGGAUUCAGGACACUCCUCUGUGUGCUCCGGGCUGGUGCACCUGCGGUCAGCAGGGGUCCCACUCCUCCCCUCAGACACCUUUGUUCUCUUGUCUUUGUGGCUGGCCCUGGCUUCCCAAGCCAGCCCACCAGCCCUUAUCCUUUGCCGGGCAAGUCCCUCUCCCAGCCACCACCCCCCCCCCCUUCUUGCACAGCUUUGUACCCAUUCAAGUCUCAGAUCAGAACCUGGCAUGGGACAGGGUGGGACCCCACCGCUCACUGCAGCCCUUCCUCCCCCAAUGCUCCCUCUUCUGCCCACAUCCCCUUAUUUGCCCCAAUCCCCUCACCCUGCCCUUGCUCCCCGCCCCUCUCUCCUCUCGGCCUGGCCCCCUCCCGAUUUCCUCUUCCCUCCUUUCUUGGCCCUCCAGUCCGGGGAGUCAGGCUUUCUCUCGGCAGGGACAGGGGCAGCUCGUCCUCCCCUCUUUCCUCACCCUCUCCCUUCUCUCUUCCCCCUCCAGCCUCCACUCCUCAGUCCUCGCCUGCUCACUCACCCUCUCCCUCUCCCGCUGCCCCCCUCUUUCUCCCCCACCUCUUUGUUUCAGCUGAGAACCGGCUCCUCGGGACAGUUCCCACACUGCAGUGCCUCUGGUGAGGAGACAGCGCCACUGAGCUUCCGAUUUGCAUGGAGCUUCCUCAAAGAGAUUCAUCUGGUGCUGAUAACCCCAGCCCACCAGAGCCAUAGGAUAAAUGGGUUUACCUAAGCUGACCGUGAAAGGCUCUCCAGACCCACAGUCAUGCCAAGUGCAGAGAAUGAGAAGGCUUUAAUGUGAAGGAGGCCUGAGCACCAUUGUGGCAAAAUCCUCAAGCCAUGGAAAGUAUCAGCACAUGAUGACAAAUGCUGGGAACUCAACCCAGGGCUUCACACAUGCUAGAAUAGUAUCAUUGACCACAUUCCCAGACCUCUUGUUGUUGUUGUUGUUGUUGCUGCUGCUGCUGCUGCUGCUGCUGCUGCUGCUGCUGCUGCUGUUCUUGGCUUCCUCCCAGGACUUUCCAGGCCAGGCCCCUGCCAACUCAUAUGUUGGCUUAAGCUCUCAUCUCCCUGUCACGUGUUGGGAACCCAGGGCCUACUGAAGAAGUGAUUAGUGCACCUGAGCAGGAUAGGCAGCCUGAGCCAGCCCUCCACCCUUCAGCUGCGACAGGGCCUUGCGGAUGGUGUUCAGCUCCUGGAUCGUGGCUCCUCGGGCUGCCAGCAGCUUGAUGUUCAACAGGGUGAACUUCCAGCUGAGGAGAGGUGACCAACCUGACACCACUCACUAGGUACCCUCCAGGUUCCUCACUGUCUGCCAUGGUCCUGACUUCACCCUGUGACCAUAUGGUACUCGGGGCACCCCUGUCGGCUGGUCCCACACCUGAGAUGAGCACCAGCAGCAGGUCAUCUGCAGUGAGCCCCUCUGCCAGCUGCUGGAUGGUCAGCGCGGCCCGGAGUGCAUCCCGAUCCGCACAGCCUCGUGUCCAUAGCUGCCUAGAGAGGGAGGAGAAGGAGUGAGGCCACGGACAGAACCCCACCAUCCAUCAUGGCCACCCCUCCGAGGGCUCAGGACUGGCGGACUCCAUAACCUGAAAUGAAACCUGGAGAAGUCAUGAAGCCUGCAGCAAACCUGAUCUUACACCAGCCCUGAAAGCCCAGCCCUGAUGCCCAGCCACGUCCUCUUCUGUAGACCACACACCAGUCUUCUGGACACUCUGCUCCAAGUCCAAAGUUCCUGUUAAGUGGACCUUCCUCCUAGGUCACCUCCUUUGCCUAGAAGUUAAUCAUUCAUGAAGGACGCCGUUCCUACCAGCAGGCCCCUGGGCCAUUCUUCUUCCACAUCCUGUACUUCCAAAGCCCUCACACCACGGCAGUGCCCCCUUUCUGGCAUUUAUGCCUUAGACGUUCCUUUACCACUUCUACUGCCAAGAAAAAAAAAAAAAAAGGCUAUUGGUUGUCUAGCCAACUGACCCGGAGUCCAUUGACCUCUAGCCUGCUCUGUUAGCUCAUACAACCAGUCUGGCAAAGCUGGGUCCAUGUGGAAAGGCUGCAGAUUUACCAGUGCACACAGCCUAAGGAAGCUCAGGACUCAGGCUAGUUCAGCAAGUGGUCCAGGCACGAAUCAAGAGUAACCACAAAUCUCACUCAAGGUCAGACCUUCAGCAAGUCCCCAGGUUAUAAGCAAAAGGACAUGUGCUAUGGGGCUCAAUCUAUAGGACAAGACCAGACACCCUUGUCCCCAUACAGCUGGUCAUGAUCAGCCUUGCCAGGAACAUCCCUUUCUGGCUCCAUGAUAGCAAAAAACAAGUCCUGAGUUACACCCUUCACAACAAAAACAGCCCAGUGCUAGAGCAGGCAAAGGCCGGGUUCCAGUAAUGAAGCCCAAACAAUCAUUUUCUCCACUGGGCAGAGUGAAGGACAGAAAGGUCUUGGGGUAAAGGUCGGGAAGCUACAGCGUAACUAUACAGGAACAAUAAAAGACUCAGCUGCAAAAA